This 22-nucleotide unclassified non-coding RNA is filed under the name Mus musculus (house mouse). Its description in RNAcentral is "oocyte_clustered_small_RNA10421". Lineage: Eukaryota; Metazoa; Chordata; Mammalia; Rodentia; Muridae. The record is from RNAcentral.
CCAGAAGAUGCUCUCCCUAGGA